This 253-nucleotide ribosomal RNA is filed under the name uncultured bacterium. Its description in RNAcentral is "partial 16S ribosomal RNA". It matches the Rfam family "Bacterial small subunit ribosomal RNA", at positions 524 to 776 of the family's 1533-position model. The record is from RNAcentral.
UACGUAGGGUGCGAGCGUUAAUCGGAAUUACUGGGCGUAAAGCGUGCGCAGGCGGUUCGUGAUGUCUGAUGUGAAAGCCCCGGGCUCAACCUGGGAAUUGCAUUGGAAACUAGCGGGCUGGAGUGUGGCAGAGGGGGGUGGAAUUCCGCGUGUAGCAGUGAAAUGCGUAGAGAUGCGGAGGAACACCGAUGGCGAAGGCAGCCCCCCGGGCUAACACUGACGCUGAGGCACGAAAGCGUGGGGAGCAAACAGG